Molecule: ribosomal RNA, 254 nt
Filed under: uncultured bacterium
Lineage: Bacteria
Description: partial 16S ribosomal RNA
Rfam family: Bacterial small subunit ribosomal RNA
Source: RNAcentral
UACGGGGGGAGCAAGCGUUGUUCGGAUUUACUGGGCGUAAAGGGCGCGUAGGCGGUCGUGACAAGUCACUUGUGAAAUCUCCGGGCUUAACUCGGAACGGUCAAGUGAUACUGUCGGACUAGAGUACAGAAGGGGCAACUGGAAUUCUCGGUGUAGCGGUGAAAUGCGCAGAUAUCAGGAAGAACACCAAUGGCGAAAGCAGCUCUCUGGGACGGUACUGACGCUGAGACGCGAAAGCGUGGGGAGCGAACAGG